Molecule: long non-coding RNA, 1627 nt
Organism: Amborella trichopoda
Lineage: Eukaryota; Viridiplantae; Streptophyta; Magnoliopsida; Amborellales; Amborellaceae
Source: RefSeq, a predicted model, not a curated record
GAAAAGGGCACAAUAAUGAGUCCCGCUGUUUGACGAAACGGUACCAAGGAGGCAAAACGCUUUGGGAAAGACCCAGGGUUUGGAGGAAGCGACGCCAGAGAGAUGAGAUAUUUUGGAACAAACCCAUGGUUUGAUGAAACGAUGCCAGGGAGGCGAAAUGCUUGUAUACCAGACCCGCGGUGUAGCCAAAGCCACACCAGGGAGGUGAAACGCUGCUGAGAUAGACCCGAGGUUUAACUAAAGCGACAUUAGGGAGGCGAAACGUUGUUGGGACAAACCCGCGGUUUGACGAAGCAAUGCCAGGGAGGUAAAACACUGCUGGGACAAACCCACAGUCUGACAGAGCAAUGCCAAGGAGGUGAAACGCUGCUGGGACAAACCCGCGGUCUGACAGAGCGAAAUGCUGCUGGGACAAACCCGCGGUCUGACAGAGCGAAAUGCUGCUGGGACAAACCCGCGGUCUGAUAGAGCGAUGCCAGGGAGGCGAAACACUUCUUGAACUGACCCCCGGUUUGAGGUUUUAUUGAAAGGGGAGAUAGAGAGAGAGGGGUUUUUACCUUCGAGAUUUCAUUGAGUCAAAAACUCAAUUCCUUUUCCGCCUUUUCCACUGUAGAGAGAGAAAGAUAGCUCCCCCUUUUGAAGCAUUCUUUUGUGAAGUUAUGGCCUCAGCUAGCACUAUUACUCAGGCCCCAAAAGGACAACAUUUCGAGCCUUUUGCAUGAGCAUCAUGAUUGCCGACAGUCAUUACAAACAACCCCUUUGCUUCCAAGUUUCAUUGAGCAUGAACACUACUAUUUUCGGUCAUCUCUUCCCCUGUUUUUGAUUCAUACUACUGUUCUGCCAUGUGAGCAAUGGCAGAGUUGUUUGCAACUGAGUUCUGUUUAUCAAGAACAUUUGAUCUCAAAUUUGUAGAAUACAUCGAUCUUUGAUAUAUGACUCAGUGUCAUGAAUAUCUCUUGAUCAUUCGGAAUUUUUCUGCAUCAUUUCUGGUUCUGCAGCUUAUCCAAGCAUCACCUAUGUGGAUGAAGGAGUUGAUGAUGACCCUGUGAUCAAUGACAAACCCAAGCCUCCAGAUCUUUGGGAAGCUUGUCAUUCAGAAGUGCAGACAAAGUCUAAGGCUGUGCAUAAGGUUUUGAAGGUCAUCAGGCCUGAACCCAUUCUCAUCCAUCAGAACAUGAUAAUAGGCUAUCAAGGUCUUGAUAAAGUAACUUUGUAUGGUUAUUCUUGUUGGCUUGUAAUCUUCAUCAUGGUGGUUGCUUAUUUUUGUAAUUUGGGCAACCCCAAUGUUCAGCACUUGGGUGAACUGCCAAUAUAUCUAGCAGACGAUCAUCUGGUUGGAUCUUCGCUUGUUGUUGCUAUUUAACUACCAUGUGCUUCUUUAUCAUGAACCAGUGGCAAGAAGAAGAAAGGAGUAUCUUUCAUUCUUUUCAAUCUCACUUUGAAAAGAAAGAUACUGCCUCUCUUGAGGAGGUCACAGUUUUGGAAGAAGGAGGUGGUGUAUUGGCUGCCACAUCCAUCAGUUGAAGAUUCAACAAGAAGAGAUCCUUCUAUGUAGAUACUAAUAAUUGUAACCACAGUAUUGUAACCCUUCUUGUUUAUGAAAUGAAAUCUUCACUUUCUUUGCUUC